RNAcentral lists this ribosomal RNA (420 nucleotides) under bacterium. RNAcentral's name for it is "partial 16S ribosomal RNA". It matches the Rfam family "Bacterial small subunit ribosomal RNA", at positions 355 to 776 of the family's 1533-position model. The record is from RNAcentral.
UGGGGGAUAUUGCACAAUGGGCGAAAGCCUGAUGCAGCGACGCCGCGUGGGGGAUGAAGGCUUUCGGGUUGUAAACCUCUUUCGCUAUCGAACAAGGCCCGCUUAGGGUGGGGUGAGGGCAGGUGGAGAAGAAGCGCCGGCUAACUACGUGCCAGCAGCCGCGGUAAUACGUAGGGCGGGAGCGUUGUCCGGAAUUAUUGGGCGUAAAGGGCUUGUAGGCGGCUUGUUGCGCCUGCUGUGAAAACGCGGGGCUUAACUUCGCGCGUGCAGUGGGUACGGGCAGGCGUGAGUGUGGUAGGGGUGACUGGAAUUCCAGGUGUAGCGGUGGAAUGCGAAGAUAUCUGGAGGAACACCGAUGGCGAAGGCAGGUCACUGGGCCAUUACUGACGCUGAGGAGCGAAAGCAUGGGUAGCGAACAGG